UACAGAGGUCUCAAGCGUUGUUCGGAUUCAUUGGGCGUAAAGGGUGCGUAGGCGGCGCGGUAAGUCGGGUGUGAAAUCUCGGAGCUUAACUCCGAAACUGCAUUCGAUACUGCCGUGCUUGAGGACUGGAGAGGAGACUGGAAUUUACGGUGUAGCGGUGAAAUGCGCAGAUAUCAGGAGGAACACCAGCGGCGAAGGCGGCGCUCUGGGCCGGUACUGACACUGAGGAGCGAAAGCGUGGGUAGCAAACAGG
RNAcentral lists this ribosomal RNA (253 nucleotides) under uncultured bacterium. Its description in RNAcentral is "partial 16S ribosomal RNA". It matches the Rfam family "Bacterial small subunit ribosomal RNA", at positions 524 to 776 of the family's 1533-position model. The record is from RNAcentral.